This 640-nucleotide ribosomal RNA is filed under the name uncultured Vibrio sp. RNAcentral's name for it is "bacterial SSU rRNA". It matches the Rfam family "Bacterial small subunit ribosomal RNA", at positions 78 to 715 of the family's 1533-position model. The record is from RNAcentral. Lineage: Bacteria; Pseudomonadati; Pseudomonadota; Gammaproteobacteria; Vibrionales; Vibrionaceae.
AUUUGUUGGGCGUCGAGCGGCGGACGGGUGAGUAAUGCCUGGGAAAUUGCCCUGAUGUGGGGGAUAACCAUUGGAAACGAUGGCUAAUACCGCAUAACGUCUACGGACCAAAGAGGGGGACCUUCGGGCCUCUCGCUUCAGGAUAUGCCCAGGUGGGAUUAGCUAGUUGGUGAGGUAAUGGCUCACCAAGGCGACGAUCCCUAGCUGGUCUGAGAGGAUGAUCAGCCACACUGGAACUGAGACACGGUCCAGACUCCUACGGGAGGCAGCAGUGGGGAAUAUUGCACAAUGGGCGCAAGCCUGAUGCAGCCAUGCCGCGUGUAUGAAGAAGGCCUUCGGGUUGUAAAGUACUUUCAGUCGUGAGGAAGGUGGUGAUGUUAAUAGCAUCAUCAUUUGACGUUAGCGACAGAAGAAGCACCGGCUAACUCCGUGCCAGCAGCCGCGGUAAUACGGAGGGUGCGAGCGUUAAUCGGAAUUACUGGGCGUAAAGCGCAUGCAGGUGGUUUGUUAAGUCAGAUGUGAAAGCCCGGGGCUCAACCUCGGAACCGCAUUUGAAACUGGCAGGCUAGAGUACUGUAGAGGGGGGUAGAAUUUCAGGUGUAGCGGUGAAAUGCGUAGAGAUCUGAAGGAAUACCAGUGG